CCCCGAACCCGGCAGCCAGCCUCCGCCUCCACCUCCUGCCGUGCCCGUUCUCAUCUCCCCCGCCCCUCUCCCUCCCUACAGAUCACCCGCCGCCAGCCACCACAUCUGCCCCCCACUGACCCGCAGCCACCAGAUCGUCCCCAAGGCCAGCAGCUCCGGCCACCACGAACCCAGAUCCGGUAGCACGGGCUCACGCCCAGGCGUUCGUGUGCUGCGGUCACCUUGGUGGUGAGGGGCUCUGGAGACGCACAGGCGCGGCAACUGAGUGUUGUGUGACACGGCGGCCAGUUCUCCUAGCGUGUGGAUCUCGGCGUCCUGCGGCCGGCCCCCGAGCUAUGGCUUGCGAUGCAGCGGCGGCAGCAGCCUCCCCGCCGCACCUCCGGCCCAUGCUCUCCUAACACGCGGACUUCCAAGCGCUUCCGUCCAGAUCAGGUGCCUCCCCUGCUCCUCGCUUGUUGUUGGAUCCUCCGCUCAGCCCCUCCCGUCGUAGACUUCCAUGGGGUGCAGACCUUUGGAGUGGAUUAGAGAGGAGAGGAGAUGCGCUGGGGCUAGCUAUCUAGCUCUGGAUUGGCUGGCUAGAUGGUUGAACGAUUCCUUGAUUCCUUCAUUUGUUAAUAGGUAGAGGCGCUAGGACCAACCCCUUAAGCGGAGGCCGCACAUGCUCGGCGGUGCCGUCGGCGAGAUGAAUGGAGCGGCCAUCCCCGCACGGCCCUCACCUGUCUUCCUCUGUCGAUUUAAGGUACCAGCAGGGAUAUAUAGGCUAAAGCUCCAUAUUGCUGGGAUCCGUGGCCAGGUAAUUGUUUUGGCGUGGUGCAGAAGCCCAGGAAACAGCCCAGACUCUACUUUUAGGAUGAAAUGGUAGAAGGAACAAACAGUGAGAAGAGAUUGGAAAUUUGAAGGCAAAUGCUGGAAUAUUUGAUGUUUUUUUCUAGUGUUGCUUUUGAUGCAAGAUGAAUGUAACUUGCAUGUAAAUUUUGAGGUGCUUCUCAAUGUAAAUCAUACGAUAUUGUAUUUGAUUUGAUGCUGUGGUAAA
Panicum virgatum (switchgrass) is the source of this 1033-nucleotide long non-coding RNA. RefSeq lists it as uncharacterized. NCBI's taxonomy places the organism in Eukaryota, Viridiplantae, Streptophyta, Magnoliopsida, Poales, Poaceae. The transcript has 5 exons. The record is from RefSeq and is a predicted model, not a curated record.